Molecule: transfer RNA, 87 nt
Filed under: Blidingia minima
Lineage: Eukaryota; Viridiplantae; Chlorophyta; Ulvophyceae; Ulvales; Ulvaceae
Description: tRNA-Ser
Rfam family: tRNA
About the family: Transfer RNA (tRNA) molecules are approximately 80 nucleotides in length. Their secondary structure includes four short double-helical elements and three loops (D, anti-codon, and T loops). Further hydrogen bonds mediate the characteristic L-shaped molecular structure. tRNAs have two regions of fundamental functional importance: the anti-codon, which is responsible for specific mRNA codon recognition, and the 3' end, to which the tRNAs corresponding amino acid is attached (by aminoacyl-tRNA synthetases). tRNAs cope with the degeneracy of the genetic code in two manners: having more than one tRNA (with a specific anti-codon) for a particular amino acid; and 'wobble' base-pairing, i.e. permitting non-standard base-pairing at the 3rd anti-codon position.
Source: RNAcentral
GGAAAGGUGGCAGAGUGGUUGAAUGCUUCGGUUUUGAAAACCGAUGUACCUAUUUGGGUACCGGGGGUUCGAAUCCCCCCCUUUCCG